GUGAAUACGCGUGGGAAACUAUCUNUAUGGGGGAUACGGUCCGAAGGAUGUUAUACCGUGAAACCAUGGAUGGUUUGCUGUGAACCCGGGGACGAAAGGCUGGGGCAGGAGAGGUCUGCGUCUGAUAGCUAUUGCGGGUACGGCCACAGCAUCGAUCAGUAGCCGGCCUGAGAGGGUGAUCGGCCACACUGGAACUGAGACACGGUCCAGACUCCUACGGGAGGCAGCAGUGGGGAAUUUUGCGCAAUGGGCGAGAGCCUGACGCAGCAACGCCGCGUGGGUGAUGAAGGUCUUCGGAUCGUAAAACCCUGUCGUCAGGGACGAAGGUUGCGAGUUUAAAAAAUGCGCAACUUGACGGUACUGGAGAGGAAGCCCCGGCUACUCUGUGCACAGCCGGGUAUACAGAGGGCAGCGUAUCGAAUAUGGGCGUAAAGGGGCGCGUAGGCGGUUUCUUAAGUGAGAUGUGUAAUCCCCGGGCUUAACCUGGGAACUGGCAUCUCAUACUGGGGAGGCUAAGUACUGGAAGGGUGGUUAAAUUCCCCGUUUUAGGUAAAUGCGUUAAAAAUUUGAGGAUUACCUGGCAAAGGCGGGCCACCUGGA
This 600-nucleotide ribosomal RNA is filed under the name uncultured bacterium. RNAcentral describes it as "bacterial SSU rRNA". It matches the Rfam family "Bacterial small subunit ribosomal RNA", at positions 106 to 733 of the family's 1533-position model. The record is from RNAcentral.